GAUGAACGCUGGCGGCGUGCCUAAUACAUGCAAGUCGAGCGAACAGACGAGGAGCUUGCUCCUUUGACGUUAGCGGCGGACGGGUGAGUAACACGUGGAUAACCUACCUAUAAGACUGGGAUAGCUUCGGGAAACCGGAGCUAAUACCGGAUAACAUGUUGAACCGCAUGGUUCAACAGUGAAAGACGGUCUUGCUGUCACUUAUAGAUGGAUCCGCGCCGCAUUAGCUAGUUGGUAAGGUAACGGCUUACCAAGGCAACGAUGCGUAGCCGACCUGAGAGGGUGAUCGGCCACACUGGAACUGAGACACGGUCCAGACUCCUACGGGAGGCAGCAGUAGGGAAUCUUCCGCAAUGGGCGAAAGCCUGACGGAGCAACGCCGCGUGAGUGAAGAAGGUCUUCGGAUCGUAAAACUCUGUUAUUAGGGAAGAACAAAUGUGUAAGUAACUAUGCACGUCUUGACGGUACCUAAUCAGAAAGCCACGGCUAACUACGUG
This 497-nucleotide ribosomal RNA is filed under the name uncultured bacterium. RNAcentral's name for it is "partial 16S ribosomal RNA". It matches the Rfam family "Bacterial small subunit ribosomal RNA", at positions 28 to 507 of the family's 1533-position model. The record is from RNAcentral.